Long non-coding RNA from Capsicum annuum, 3532 nucleotides. RefSeq lists it as uncharacterized. NCBI's taxonomy places the organism in Eukaryota, Viridiplantae, Streptophyta, Magnoliopsida, Solanales, Solanaceae. The record is from RefSeq and is a predicted model, not a curated record. The transcript is spliced from 2 exons.
CUCCAUUAUUGAUCCGUUGCUAUCUUCUUUUCUCUAUCUUCUUUUCAGUGUAGCAUCACAUCUGGAAUAAAGUUGUGCCUGCCACUACAUCUACUACAUAUGUGAUCAUUGUAUUUUUGACCAACUUUUUCACAAAAUUGUUCCGUAGCUUCUUCUGAAAUAAUUUCUUUUUUGAUAUAUCUCGUUAAUGGUUGUUCUUCUGGUUUGAGUGUUAAUCCCUAUUUUCUAAGUUCUUUCAUGUCUUGGUCUCUAACUUCUUUACAAGUUGAAUAAACCAAUGUUUGAUUCCUCGAGCUAUAUAUCUAAAUGGGUUUCUGAUUUGAAUAAUUAUUAAGUAAUUCUGAUAAUAUAUUACUAAGUCCAAUAACUCUUUUGUUGCAGUAAAAUCCUGGUAUCUAUGUUUUUGGUAUCUCAUCUUGUUCACAUAUUUCUUCUGGAAUAAUACAAUCUCUGGUCAUACCUAUCUUAAUUACUGUAAUAGUCUGUUUAACUUCAUCAAACAAUAUUUCGGCUGGAGCGGAAUAAAAUCAAACAUAAAAUAAUUGUCCGUUAGUAAUUCUCUUGUAGAUCAUAAAUCCAUUGUGAAUAUCUGGAAAUCCUUCUAACUCUUCUCCAGUAGUUGUGUAAACUGUAGAUAAUAAUCCAUAAUAAUAACAUGAUUUGAUUAAAUUCGAACUUGUACCUGAAAAAACAAUAAGAUUAUUGUAAUUCUGGCAUUUCUGGGUAAUAUAUCCUUUUUGUUGUGCGGCUAGUUCUUUACUUUGAAUAGGUUUGGUAUUUAACAUGGUUUGUAAGCUAUAUAUAUUUUCAAUGUAUUUUCGGGCAACAUAGUUGUAUGUCUGUUUUUCUUGGUUAAAUGAUUCAGAAUAUGUAUGUAUCCAAGUAAGUUUCUUGAUUAGCCUGUUGAUAAAUAUGGAUUUUUCUAGUAAAAAACACUAGGAAAAUUCUUCUCAUAUAUAGAGUUAUCUGGUACCUAUUGUGUUGCUGGUGACAGGUGUGAGGUGUGAGGUGUGGAAUUAGUCGAUAGAGUUACCUGAUACCUAUUGUUGUUGCUGGUGAGAGGUGAGGAAUUAGUCGAUAGAGUUACUUGAUACCUAUUAAUGUUGGUGCGAAGUGUGGAAUUAGUCGAUAUAUAGAGUUAUCUGAGGUGUAGAAUUAGUCGAUACCUAUAAAUGUUGCUGUUGUUGGUGAGAGGUAUGAGGUGUAAAAUUAGUCGAUAGAGUUACCUGGUACCUAUUGUUGUUGGUGGUGAGAGGUGAGAGGUCUGAAAUUAGUCGAGGUGCGCAAAAGAUGGUCCAGACACCACGGUUAUUUAAAAAAGGAGUUUUUUUUUUUGGGUGGCUUUUAGAGAAGGCUUUUGUGCUUUUCUUCUUUUUGGGUGGCUUUUAGAGAAGGCUUUUGUGUUUUUCUUCUUUGUGGGAUUGAAAAAAUGGAUUUUUAAGCUGAUCCAGAUGAGUUUCUUGAGUUCUCUAUUGAUAAAUUAUGGAUUUUUUGUGCUUUUAGAGAAGGUUUUUGGGUUUUUUCUGUUUCUUGGGGUUGAAAAGAAAGGUUUUCUAAGCUGAUCCUGACAAGUUUCUUCAUUUGUCUGUUGAUAAAUAUUGAAUUUUGUGGCUUUUAGAGAAGGUUUUUGUGUUUUUCUUCUAGGUGAUUCUUCCUAUUUGUCCUAACCUUGGUGGAUAGAGUUGCCCGAUAACUAGUGGGAGGUGGCAGUUAUCCCGUGCAUUUAGUUGAGUUGUGCGAAAGCUGACCCAGACACCACGGUUAUUAUAAAAGAGGAUUUUUUAAGCUGACACAGAUAAGUUUCUUGAUUUCUCUGUUGAUGAAUAUGGCUUUUUAUGCUUUUAGAAAAAGUUUUAAACUUUUCAGAUGGUGGGGUUUUCUCAGACCCUUUUCUGUAAUGUUGAUUGUAGUUGUAAUGGUGGGAGUUUUACUAAUGGUACAAACAAAAAUGAAGAAUUUUAGACAUAAAAAUGGAGUUUUUGUUCAGUUUGAUGUUCAAGAGAAAGUGGGAAUGAAGAAUCUUGAACCAAUGAAUAGGUCUAGUGAAGCUGAAAUUUUGUCAACUAGUGUUAGUCCUUAUCAUGAUUGGGAGUUAUUUGCUGCUGAUUAUGAAGAUUGUGUAUCCAGAUGCUUUUACGAGCAACAAGUCUUCGAUUUUUUCGAGUAUUUUUCUUCCUCAUACAAACCCCUUUGAUCCAAAGUUAGGAAAUUACUUUAGUGAGCACAUGUUCAAGAUUGCUCUUUUGGGUAGUUCUUUUGUUACUCAGAAACCAGAAGAGGCUCAUUUUUACUUUAUGCCGUUUUCGAUCAACGUUAUGCGAAAUCAUCCUCGUGUGCAUUCUGCCUCGGCGAUUGAAGAUUUUGUUGCUGUAUAAACUGAUAGAGUUAGAUCAGAGUUCGAAUGCAUCUGGUGGUGCUGAUCAUUUUUAUGUGUACUGUCAUUCUAUCGGUCGAGAUGCUGCCUCUGAGCAUCAAGAAUUGCAUCAUAACUCAAUUCAGGUUACUUGCUCGUCGAGAUACUUUCAGAGGCUAUACGUUGCCCACAAACAUAUUGGGCUGCCCCAAGUUUGGCCUCGCCAACACGAGCAAGUGUUGAACCCUCCAGAUGCGAGAUACAAGCUCGUCUUCUUUGCUGGUCGUGUCCAAAAUUCUCUUGCAAGACGAGAUUUAUUGUAGCAAUGGAAGAACGAUAGCUCCUUCGAUAUAUUCUCCGGGAGUUCAUCUUUCCCUUACAAGGAAGGAUUUCGGAGAAGUAGAUACUGUCUCCACGUCAAAGGUUACGAGUUAAAUACAGCUAGAGUCAGUGAUGCUAUUCAGCAUGGCUGUGUCCCUGUACUAAUUUCGUACUACUAUGAUCUUCCAUUAGCCAACAUAUUAGACUGGAGCAAGUUCUCAGUUAUUGUUAAUGAAAGAGAUAUUCCACACCUAAAGAAGAUACUGCUCUCUGUGCCUGAACGAACGUACCUCAACAUGUAUAAGAAUCUAGGUAUCGUUAGAAGGCACUUCGCGUGGUAUAGUAGCCCGAAAACUUAUGAUUUAUUCCACAUGACUGUUUACCAACUUUGGUGCAGAAGGGGACUACAUCGAGUCACUUGGUGAUAUCUCGGUAUCUGACUUCGCCUUAGCUGACAUCUAGCCGUGGUUUAUGUGAGUCUACUAGAUGUCAUCUAAGGCGAGCUUAAAUGGAACGACGUGGUCAGUAAGGAUUCAUAGAGCCGAGCUCAACAUGUUAGAAGUCAUGGCAAUGGUGUUUGUAUUUUUUUCACAUUUAUUAGAUCUCUCUCAAAUUUGUUUUUUAUUUACAUUAAUGGUGUUUGUAUUUUUUUUUCACAUUUAUUAGAUUUAAUGCAAGGGCUAGGAAGCUUUGACAUCCUCUUGUAUAUACAUUCCUCAUGUCUUGAAUUAUUCUAGUAGAUAGUUAUUCACAACAUCCGUUAAUUUUUCAAAGAGUGAAGGGUCAAAAACAAAUGUGUAGUAGAUAGUUAUUCACAACAUCCAUUAAUUUUUCAAAGAGCGAAAGGUCAAAAACAAA